RNAcentral lists this unclassified non-coding RNA (348 nucleotides) under soil metagenome. Its description in RNAcentral is "partial contains 5.8S ribosomal RNA, internal transcribed spacer 2, and large subunit ribosomal RNA". The stretch from base 1 to 120 matches the Rfam family "5.8S ribosomal RNA", at positions 35 to 154 of the family's 154-position model. The record is from RNAcentral.
GAUGAAGAACGUAGCAAAAUGCGAUAAGUAAUGUGAAUUGCAGAAUUCAGUGAAUCAUCGAAUCUUUGAACGCACAUUGCGCCCGCUGGUAUUCCGGCGGGCAUGCCUGUUCGAGCGUCAUUUCAACCCUCAAGCCCCCGGGUUUGGUGUUGGGGAUCGGCUCUGCCCUUCUGGGCGGUGCCGCCCCCGAAAUACAUUGGCGGUCUCGCUGCAGCCUCCAAUGCGUAGUAGCUAACACCUCGCAACUGGAACGCGGCGCGGCCAUGCCGUAAAACCCCAACUUCUGAAUGUUGACCUCGGAUCAGGUAGGAAUACCCGCUGAACUUAAGCAUAUCAAUAAGCGGAGGA